RNAcentral lists this ribosomal RNA (2739 nucleotides) under Labrenzia sp. CP4. RNAcentral's name for it is "bacterial LSU rRNA". It matches the Rfam family "Bacterial large subunit ribosomal RNA". The record is from RNAcentral. Lineage: Bacteria; Pseudomonadati; Pseudomonadota; Alphaproteobacteria; Hyphomicrobiales; Stappiaceae.
GAGUGAUCAAGUGUCUUAAGGGCAUUCGGUGGAUGCCUUGGCGACAAGAGGCGAUGAAGGACGUGAUACGCUGCGAUAAGCCAUGGGGAGCUGCGAAUAAGCUUUGAUCCGUGGAUUUCCGAAUGGGGAAACCCACUCCGUAUGGAGUACCCGCAAGGGAGCAAACCCGGGGAACUGAAACAUCUAAGUACCCGGAGGAAAGGACAUCAACCGAGACUCCGGCUAGUAGUGGCGAGCGAACGCGGACCAGGGCCCAGUGGCCUUGCAUUUAAGAACCGGAACCGUCUGGAAAGUCGGGGCAUUAGUGGGUGAUAGCCCGUUACGGGUAGAAAUUAUGCAAGUCCUCGAGUAGGGCGGGACACGUGAAAUCCUGUCUGAACGUGGGGGGACCACCCUCCAAGCCUAAGUACUCCUUGUCGACGAUAGCGAACAAGUACCGUGAGAGGGAAAGGUGAAAAGUACCCCGACGAGGGGAGUGAAACAGUUCCUGAAACCGGAUGCCUACAAACAGUUGGAGGGCGCAAGCCUGACAGCGUACCUUUUGUAUAAUGGGUCAGCGACUUAAUUUAACGAGCAAGCUUAAGCCGGUAGGUGUAGGCGUAGCGAAAGCGAGUCUGAAUAGGGCGCCCUAGUUCGUUGGAUUAGACCCGAAACCGAGUGAUCUAGCCAUGGCCAGGUUGAAGGUGCGGUAACACGCACUGGAGGACCGAACCCACGCCUGUUGAAAAAGUCGGGGAUGAGCUGUGGCUAGGGGUGAAAGGCCAAUCAAACUCGGAAAUAGCUGGUUCUCCGCGAAAUCUAUUUAGGUAGAGCGUCGGAUGAAUACUCUCGGGGGUAGAGCACUGGAUGGGCUAUGGGGGCUUACCGCCUUACUGAUCCUAACCAAACUCCGAAUACCGAGAAGUACUAUCCGGCAGACACACAGUGGGUGCUAACGUCCAUUGUGGAGAGGGAAACAACCCUGACCGCCAGUUAAGGUCCCUAAGUUAUGGCUAAGUGGGAAAGGAUGUAGAACUCCCAAAACAACCAGGAUGUUGGCUUAGAAGCAGCCAUCAUUUAAAGAAAGCGUAACAGCUCACUGGUCUAAAUAAGGGGUUCCGCGCCGAAAAUGUACCGGGGCUCAAGCCAUACACCGAAACUGCGGGUGCAUCUUAUGAUGCGCGGUAGCGGAGCGUUCUGUAAGUCUGCGAAGGGGGACCCGUGAGGGCUCCUGGAGAUAUCAGAAGUGCGAAUGCUGACAUGAGUAACGAUAAAGCGGGUGAGAGACCCGCUCGCCGAAAGUCCAAGGGUUCCUGCGCAACGCUAAUCGGCGCAGGGUUAGCCGGCCCCUAAGGCGAGGCCGAAAGGCGUAGUCGAUGGGAAUGCAGUUAAUAUUCUGCAGCUUGGUGGUAGUGACGGAUGCCGUGUGUUGUAUCUCCUUAUUGGAUUGGGGGUGCAGCGAAGGUGUUCCAGGAAAUAGCUCCACCGUAUAAACCGUACCCGAAACCGACACAGGUGGACUGGUAGAGAAUACCAAGGCGCUUGAGAGAACUAUGCUGAAGGAACUCGGCAAAAUGCUCCCGUAAGUUCGCGAGAAGGGAGACCUCACGACGGGCAACCGUUGUGGGGUGGCACAGACCAGGGGGUGGCGACUGUUUAUCAAAAACACAGGGCUCUGCGAAGCCGUAAGGCGACGUAUAGGGUCUGACGCCUGCCCGGUGCUGGAAGGUUAAGAGGAGGUGUGCAAGCACCGAAUUGAAGCCCCAGUAAACGGCGGCCGUAACUAUAACGGUCCUAAGGUAGCGAAAUUCCUUGUCGGGUAAGUUCCGACCUGCACGAAUGGCGUAACGACUUCCCCGCUGUCUCCAGCAUAGACUCAGUGAAAUUGAAUUCCCCGUGAAGAUGCGGGGUUCCUGCGGUCAGACGGAAAGACCCCGUGCACCUUUACUACAGCUUCACACUGGUAUUCGUCACGACAUGUGUAGGAUAGGUGGUAGACGUUGAAGCAGGAGCGCCAGCUCUUGUGGAGUCACCCUUGAAAUACCACCCUUGUCGUCAUGGAUAUCUAACCGCGGUACAACAAUAUCCGGGACCGUGUGUGGCGGGUAGUUUGACUGGGGCGGUCGCCUCCCAAAUGGUAACGGAGGCGCGCGAAGGUGGGCUCAGAGCGGUCGGAAAUCGCUCGUUGAGUGCAAUGGCAUAAGCCUGCCUGACUGCGAGACUGACAAGUCGAGCAGAGUCGAAAGACGGCCAUAGUGAUCCGGUGGUCCCUCGUGGAAGGGCCAUCGCUCAACGGAUAAAAGGUACGCCGGGGAUAACAGGCUGAUGAUGCCCAAGAGUCCAUAUCGACGGCAUUGUUUGGCACCUCGAUGUCGACUCAUCACAUCCUGGGGCUGGAGCAGGUCCCAAGGGUUUGGCUGUUCGCCAAUUAAAGUGGUACGUGAGUUGGGUUCAGAACGUCGCGAGACAGUUCGGUCCCUAUCUGCCGUGGGUGUAGGAGAAUUGAGAGGAUCUGUCCCUAGUACGAGAGGACCGGGAUGGACGUACCUCUGGUGGACCUGUUGUGGCGCCAGCCGCAUUGCAGGGUAGCUAUGUACGGAAGGGAUAACCGCUGAAAGCAUCUAAGCGGGAAACCCACCUCAAAACCAGUUCUCCCUGAAGAGCCGUGGAAGACCACCACGUCGAUAGGAAGCGUGUGGAAGUGCGGCAACGCAUGAAGCUUAGCUUUACUAAUAGCUCGUUCGGCUUGAUCCUCUCAUU